This is a small nucleolar RNA of Struthio camelus australis, 67 nucleotides long. The record is from Ensembl. Lineage: Eukaryota; Metazoa; Chordata; Aves; Struthioniformes; Struthionidae.
GAUCAGUGAAGAGCCUAUCCCGAGCCUGAUUGCUUGAUGAAAAAUACAUGAAUCUGACUUCUGAGAU